This 1482-nucleotide ribosomal RNA is filed under the name metagenome. Its description in RNAcentral is "bacterial LSU rRNA". It matches the Rfam family "Bacterial large subunit ribosomal RNA", at positions 1458 to 2925 of the family's 2925-position model. The record is from RNAcentral.
GAAGCGAUGGGGUGACGCAGGAAGGUAGCUGGGCCAGUCAGUGGUUGUACUGGCGUAAGAGUGUAGGCCGUGACAUAGGCAAAUCCGUGUCACAUUAAGGCUGAGACUUGAUGCAUACCCGUUGUGGGGAAUUCAGUGAUCCUAUGCUGCCGAGAAAAGCCUCUAGUGAGUUCAUACACGGCCCGUACCCCAAACCGACACAGGUGAUCAGGUAGAGAAUACCAAGGCGAUCGAGAGAACUGUGGUUAAGGAACUCGGCAAAAUGCCCCCGUAACUUCGGGAGAAGGGGGACCAUGCCCGGUGAACAUCUUCACGGUGGGAGCUGGGUGUGGUCGCAGAGACCAGAGAGAAGCGACUGUUUACUAAAAACGCAGGUCCGUGCGAAGACGUAAGUCGAUGUAUACGGACUGACGCCUGCCCGGUGCUGGAAGGUUAAGAGGACCGGUUAGCCGUAAGGCGAAGCUGAGAAUUUAAGCCCCAGUAAACGGCGGUGGUAACUAUAACCAUCCUAAGGUAGCGAAAUUCCUUGUCGGGUAAGUUCCGACCUGCACGAAUGGCGUAACGACUUCUCUGCUGUCUCGACCACAGACUCGGCGAAAUUGCACUACGAGUAAAGAUGCUCGUUACGCGCGGCAGGACGAAAAGACCCCGGGACCUUUACUAUAGCUUGGUAUUGGCGUUCGAUUCGGUUUGUGUAGGAUAGGUGGGAGACUGUGAGGCAUGCACGCCAGUGUGUGUGGAGUCGUUGUUGAAAUACCACUCUGAUCGUAUUGGACGUCUAACCUCGGCCCAUGAUCUGGGUUAGGGACAGUGCCUGGUGGGUAGUUUAACUGGGGCGGUUGCCUCCUAAAGAGUAACGGAGGCGCCCAAAGGUUCCCUCAGCCUGGAUGGCAAUCAGGUGUUGAGUGCAAGUGCACAAGGGAGCUUGACUGUGAGACUGACACGUCGAGCAGGGACGAAAGUCGGGACUAGGGAUCCGGCACCGGCAAGUGGAAGCGGUGUCGCUCAACGGAUAAAAGGUACCCCGGGGAUAACAGGCUGAUCUUCCCCAAGAGUCCAUAUCGACGGGAUGGUUUGGCACCUCGAUGUCGGCUCGUCGCAUCCUGGGGCUGGAGUAGGUCCCAAGGGUUGGGCUGUUCGCCCAUUAAAGCGGCACGCGAGCUGGGUUUAGAACGUCGUGAGACAGUUCGGUCUCUAUCCGCCGCGCGCGUAAGAAACUUGAGGAAGGCUGUCCCUAGUACGAGAGGACCGGGACGGACGAACCUCUGGUGUGCCAGUUGUUCCACCAGGAGCAUGGCUGGUUAGCUACGUUCGGAAGGGAUAACCGCUGAAAGCAUCUAAGCGGGAAGCCUGUUCCAAGAUGAGGUUUCUCACCACCUUGCGUGGUUAAGGCCCCCUACAGACCAUGGGGUUGAUAGGCCGGAACUGGAAGCGCAGCAAUGCGUGGAGGUGACCGGUACUAAUAGGCCGAGGGCUUACACC